Molecule: long non-coding RNA, 34808 nt
Filed under: Prunus persica (peach)
Lineage: Eukaryota; Viridiplantae; Streptophyta; Magnoliopsida; Rosales; Rosaceae
Description: long non-coding RNA (PPER_LNC004544)
Source: RNAcentral
AGCAAAGCCGUAGAUAUCCUCUUCCUGCUACACAUAGUAUUAGCCUACGUAAGGUCAUUACGGCGCCGUUUCCCUUUUUAAUUGGCGUAGUUCAACUCAUCAUCCACCCAAGUUCAUUUCGUUCAAAGCUAUAAAUAACCCCUCAAACCAUUCAACUUUCCCACCACCACUCCUCACUCCUUCAACUCAUUAACCUCUCUCUCUCUCUCUCCUUCAACUCAUUAACCUCUCUCUCUCUCUCUCUCUCUCUCAUUUUCAUCCGCAAAUGGCGAACCGUAGAAGCCUCUUUUCUCUCUCACUUAUCUUUGUGUUCAUGAUCAACUCAGCCAUAGCCACUCCAGUCACAUACAAUGUGGCCAGUUUAGGAGCCAAAGCAGAUGGCAAGACUGACUCCACAAAAGCCUUCCUCUUUGCAUGGGCUAAAGCUUGUGCCUCGAUGAAUCCCGGUGUCAUUUAUGUGCCGGCAGGAACGUUCUUUCUUCGCGAUGUGGUGUUCAGUGGGCCUUGCAAGAACAAUGCCAUCACCUUCCGCAUUGCCGGAACCCUUGUGGCCCCGUCGGAUUACCGGGUCAUCGGUAAUGCAGCUAACUGGAUUUUCUUUCACCAUGUAAACGGGGUUACCAUAUCAGGUGGAAUUCUUGACGGCCAAGGCACGGCCUUGUGGGCUUGCAAGGCCUCUCAUGGCGAGAGUUGUCCCAGCGGAGCAACGGUAAUUAAUUCACUACUUUAAAUAUCAUAUUCAUGACACCAUUAAAUAUCAAAUUCAUGACACCAUUAUUUUGUGCUUCAUUAUUAGUGAGAAUUUUAAAGGUCAACGUACGUACAAUUUGCUUUAUUAUUUGCUACCAAUUGAAUUGAGGGUUUAUAAAAUAAGUUUAAACUCUACAGAACGUAAUCAAAUGGACAUGAUAAAUUGUACCACAAGCUUAGCUUGAUCAAGUAAUUUCGUGUAUAUAUGUGCAGACUUUGGGUUUUUCCGACUCAAACAACAUCGUGGUGAGUGGAUUGGCAUCCCUAAACAGCCAAAUGUUCCACAUAGUCAUCAACGACUGCCAAAAUGUGCAAAUGCAAGGUGUCAGGGUUUCUGCUUCCGGGAACAGCCCUAACACCGAUGGCAUUCAUGUCCAAAUGUCAUCUGGUGUCACAAUCCUCAACUCCAAGAUUGCAACCGGUGACGAUUGUGUCUCAAUUGGCCCCGGAACCUCAAAUUUGUGGAUAGAAGGCGUUGCUUGUGGACCUGGCCAUGGAAUUAGGUACGACAUCAAAAUUAUAUAUUUAUCCAUGAUUGAUCAAACUAGCUAAAUGCAUACUAUUUCAUAAUAUAUGUUAUAAUGUAUAUCUUUUUUCUUCGUUGCUUAAUGACAUUUGAACUUAGGACAUCUUUCAAUAAAGUGGAGAUUAAUUGGUUGCUAGUAGAGAUUCAUUGCCUACAAAAAGUAUAUCUUUCUUUUGGGUGGAUGUUCUAGUUGUAAAUUUAACAUUGCUUUAUUUGAUGGUUCAGCAUUGGAAGUCUAGGCAAGGAGCAAGAAGAGGCCGGUGUACAAAAUGUAACAGUUAAAACGGUUACCUUUACUGGUACUCAGAAUGGUCUAAGAAUCAAGUCAUGGGGGAGGCCAAGCACUGGGUUUGCUAGAAAUAUUCUUUUCCAACAUGCUACAAUGGUCAAUGUCGAAAAUCCUAUUGUCAUAGAUCAACAUUAUUGCCCCGACAACAAAGGGUGCCCUGGUCAGGUAAGAUAUCAUUCUUGCUCUAACGGUCAAUUCCCAGAGUUUAAUAUUACAACUAAAUUUUCUCUUCUUCACUUUCAUAGUGUAACGUUUUUGAUAAAAACGUUGGCAUCGCCAAAUUAUAACUGUCUAAUUUCGAAACAUAUCAAAAGCUUUCUUGGGCUUCCACCUAGAAGAGCCAAUAAUUUUAGACCCAAAGCAAAUCCAAUAACUCCUUCUUCCAUGGGCUUGCUCUCCUACUACUUACAAAGGUCGAGCCUUGCCCAUUGUAACCUUUGUAACUUAUUAAUUUCAUUGUAUGUGCAAUGAGAUUGAGGGUUGUAGCUUAAGUGGUUAACAAUAUUUACUCAUGUAUUCGAAGUUCUAGAUUUAAUUCCCCUCUUUUCCAAUACCAUUUUUAUCAAAAUGACUUCAUCGUAGCUUAGCCAAAAAAGCAUUAAACUUCCCAUUAAGCCGAAUUACCAUGCUAUAAUGCUUGUUCACCUUCUGUUUUAUCAAAAGCUGGAAAUCUGACUUCCUAUUGUUUUUUUUCUUUUGUCAAUUUUGUUUUUCGAUAGGUUUCCGGAGUUCAAAUUAGCGAUGUGACAUACGAAGACAUACACGGUACAUCAGCAACAGAAGUUGCAGUAAAAUUUGAUUGCAGUCCCAAGCACCCUUGCAGCGAGAUCAAAUUGGAGGAUGUGAAGCUUACUUACAAGAACCAAGCAGCUGAGUCUUCAUGUAGCCAUGCAGAUGGAACAACUGAGGGUGUGGUUCAGCCUACAAGUUGUUUGUAGAGUGGAAAAAUAUGAACUGCUUGUAGAAGUAUUGAAAUCCAAAAGUUUGCCCUCCAGUACUAAGGACAAAUGAAAAGUGAAUUAUACGAUUUAUAUAGGAAGAAUGAGCUUGUGUUGUUGGCAGCCUACUUGGGCUUCCCUUGAGCCUGGCCGUUCAAUUAGUUUAGUUUGUUCAAACUCGUCCACUUCGAUGGGUGUUUAUGUUAUGAAUUGUUGUAAGAUUAUGUUCGGGAUACGUUAAAUUUAUAAGAUUAAAUUUUAUGUUGAUGGCUAAUGUGGCAUUUGACAUAGGAUUCAAUAUUCUAUCAAUUUAAUUCACAAUUUUAUUAUAAUCGAAGCACACAUUAAAUAGUAAAAAUUUGGUUCAAGAAACAAAAGGAUUUGAAGUCUCGCAUGAACUUUUUGGUUGGAGCAUUUUCUCAUGUCAAAUUUUACCCGUUAAAAAUUUAUUAUGAUAUUUUAACAUUUCGGUUGGAGUAUUUUUUUCAUGUCAAAUUUGACCCGUUAAAAAUUUACUAUGGUAUUUUAGCAUUUCGGUUGGAGAUGUAUAAAUCUUAAAAAUGCAUUCAAGAUGCAUUUUUGUUUCUUAAGCUUUGAGCUUUAGGUAAUUAACUUUAAAUGUUGUUGGGCACCUUGCACUAGUUGAUUAAAGAAAAAUAGACCCGAAGCAAGAUUCCUUGUAGUUGCCAAUUCGAAGUUUUCUUUAUCGCUACAUACUUACUGGUCUACAAGUUCUCUCUCUAAUACAUAAUUUGACAUAAAUAAAUACAGUGAAGAGUGCAUUGACUAAACAGAAAAAAAAACAAAAAAAGCAGCACGUAAGCAAUUACGUGCAUUUGGUGUAAAAGCUAAAGGCCUCUGAUUUAUGUAAGCAGUUACGGUAAUCAUAUUAUAUUAUAUGUAUCUUAGUUCUGCAAUUGUAACAGGAAUAAUAUUGUUUUGUUAUCCCCAAUCAAUAAUACAAUGAUACGUGAAAAAGUUAUUUAACAUGUCAUUGCGUUAUUAGCUGGGGAUAGCAAACAGUGCUAUCCCCAUUACAUGAAAGUCUUUCUCCUGCAUAUCCUAUUAUACUAUUAUAAAACUCAAUUGGUCAAUCAUAGUGAAAAAAAUAUAGUGAAAGAAAAAAGAAGAAGAAGAAAAUAUCAAUUAAGCCCCUCUUAUAUUGAACACUUCAAUAAUAAAAUAAAAAUUGCAUAUGGAGUAAAGUCAGUCAGUUAAGAUAGUAUGCUAGUUCUUUUGCACCUGAGUUCAAUUUCCUUCCCCGAACAUUUUCAAAUAAAUAAUAAUAAAAUAAAAUGUGAAUUUGAUAGUCAAUGUCGUAGUAAAAUAUGGUUUUUUAGUAUCAAUAUUAAGGAAAGCCAUUGUUCUUUCUAGCAGAAUGCCCGCCACUGCUAGAGAGAGAGAGAGAGAGAGAGCGGAAUGGCAGAAGUGAGUAACAAGCAGGUGAUACCGAGGGAGUAUGUCACUGGCUUUCCCAAAGAGUCAGACUUGUACGUGAAUAGCACUGCUACUAUCAAGUUGAAGCUUUCUGAGGCCCCCGAGCAUGAGGGUUCUUCAAAGAAACUAGUUCUAGUGAAGAAUCUUUACUUGUCCUGCGAUCCCUACCAACGACUAUUUAUGGAAAGAAUCGAAGGCCUCAGCAGCCAAUCCACUUCCUCCUAUACGCCUGGUUCUGUAAGCAAAACCCAUCAUAUAUCUUUUCCUUUCAAUUUCUGUAAACAUAUAUACCAAAUGUUAUGCUCAAAUAUAUAUUAAUUGUUAAACAUUGUUCCCUUAAAAAAAACAAUUUAUUGCAAAAUUGGAAUAUACAAGAGGUAACUCUGCACAAAUAUUAAUGACAAGAUGAGGUGGCUAAAAGCACUGUUAAUGUCUAUCAGCGCGCAAUGAGCACGAAUAACUGUGAUUAUUAAGUAGUAGGAGCUGAUAGUUGUUUUUGUUACCACAUCCUAUGCCACAAAUAUUAAUUAUUACCAAUUAUUCUUCUAGUAAUGCUUGUUUUUUUGUUGAUGGCAACAUUGGGAGGAGGGAAUCAAAUACAAGUUUGAUCAUAUGAUUAAUUUAAUUUUGUUGGUGUAAACGUGCAGCCAAUAUACGGGUAUGGAGUGGCUAAAGUUUUGGACUCUGGGCACCCAGAUUUGAAGGCAGGUGACUUAGUUUGGGGGACUACCUAUUGGGAAGAGUACAGCCGAAUCCCUGAACCCGAAGGCCUGAUCAAAAUCCAGCACACUGAUGUACCUCUAUCCUAUUAUACUGGAAUUCUUGGUAACAAGUCAAACCUAUUUUAGAUCAUGAUGAUAUGUGUUGGUUUAGAUACGUAAGUGUAUUUUUUGUAAUUUCAUUUCAGGUAUGCCUGGUUUGACCGCUUAUGUUGGUUUCUAUGAAAUUUGUUCUCCUAAGAAAGGAGAACAUGUCUUCAUUUCAGCAGCAGCUGGUGCUGUUGGUCAGCUUGUUGGACAAUUUGCAAAAUUAAUGGGUUGUUAUGUUGUUGGAAGUGCUGGCAGUAAGGAAAAGGUACGAACUUGAGAAAUCUUUGAACUUCAAAUUAAUAUUAUCUACACCAUUUUUUCUUGUUUGGGUUGUAUUUUGCUGUUGUUAUUUGGGCCAACUUUGGUGUUGGUUUGGUUUGGGGCCUCUGUUUGUGCGCUGGGACUACAAUGAGUGGAAAGUUAUAAGGGGUAAGUUAUAAGGGGUUCACUUUAUAGCCAUCAGAUCAAUCCAAGGGCUGGGGAGAAUUGAGAUAAAGUUUCACAAUUGGGUAGGUGAGGAACCCAAACCCGAAUUGAAUAUCCAGCACGUCCAAAAAGAAGAAGAAGAGGGAAACACGUUCGAAAAAGAAGAAGAAGAGGCAAGUUCGAAGUUUGAACAGAAAGAACUCAUCUCUCUAAAACCCAGAGGUCUGAGAUACCCAAUGAAGGCAACGGCUAACGACAGUUGAAGGCAACGAUUCGCCACUCCGUUCUCCAGACCCUGAAAAAGUAUUUAUUUGGAGUAGAAGGGGCAAAGGUGUGGAUUCCAAAUCAAUGAAGGGGCGAAGCAGUGGAAGGGGAAGGGGAGAAGCUAUAAUCGUUGGAAGUGGUAGGUUCCAUUUGUGGAGCAAAGAAACAGAAAGACCCCACACAGACACCUUGCAAUAACCAGCAUUUGGUGAGUAAUUUAUGGAAUUUGAGUUUAGGGUUAGAGUAAUGGUUUUCCUCAAUUUGUAGCAUAAAUUUUGUUGGAUUUGGCAUCUCUUCGUUGUGCUUGAGUUGCAUGUUAAUUUUUGCUUAGGUAUAUGUUAAAAAAAGAAUGAAAAUCAAGUCAAUAACAAGUGAAUAACAUGUCAAUAAUGAUAUGAAUAAGAUAAUGGUGUUGAAUUGGAGGAGGCCCUCAAAACCUUCCACAUUUGAAGCAGUGCAUAGUGCAGAUUAAGAAGAGGCGGUAGAAUAUAUAUAUAUAUAUAUAUAUAUAUAUUUUAUGAAGUAAAUAUGAUUUCCUUUGUUACUAAAUUUGCCUGAGAAACAUUUGAACAGAUAAUAAUAAACUCAUGAAUAGAAGUGCAAAGCAUUUGAUGAGUAAUUUAAGGAAUUUGAGUUUAGGGUUAGAGUAAUGGUUUUCCCCAAUUUGUACCAUCAAUGUUGUUGGAUUUGGCAUCUCUUAUUUGUGCUUCAAUUGCAUGUUAAUUUUUGCUUGGGUAUAUGUUAAAAAACGAAUGAAAAUAGAGUCAAUCACAUGUCAAUAACAUCUCAAUAACAUGUCAAUAACAUGUUAGUAAUGAUAUGAAUAAGAUAAUGGUGUUAAAUUGGAGGAGGCGCUCAAAACCUUCCACAUUUGAAGCAGUGCAGAGUGAAGAGUACCUCUCUGGCCCUAGAAUUUAUAUAUUUUGUGAAAUAAAUAUGAUUUCAUUUGUUACUAAAUUUGCCUAUGAGAAAUGAGAACAGAUAAUAAUAAACUCAUGAAUAAAAGUGCAAAGCAUUUGAAAUGAAGGUUGAUCUAUGACGAUUGUGGGUGACUGAAGAAAAAGCUAGAAAGAAAGAAGGAUGUGGCAAUUGCUUAGCAAGCAGAUAGCAGAGUAGAUGCUUUGCUUUGCUUCCUUCCACUAUAUUUCUUAUUUAUUUAUUUUGUGUUGUGUAUGAGAUGACAAUAAUUGUCAUGUGUGUGAAGUGCAGAACUUGCCUACAUUGCACUCACACGAGUAUGGAUCCAUAAAUAAAACACGUGAAAUUGUUUGUAAUUCACAUAAUCAUUGCAUUAACAGGUAUUUGCACAAAAUUUGUCAUAUUGCUUUGAUGAUGUUAAAGCCUAUGAUCAGUAAUCCGUAUGCUCAUGUACUUUGUAAAAUUUGUAAUGUGCCUGGUUGACUAGUUGUGAUUGUGCAAAUACGUGGCAGUAUAUGUGUUCACGUUAUUUCACAUUGUAUUUGAGGAAAUGGGAUCCAACGUGGAGCUGGUAUGGCCAGAGGCAGAGGCAUAUUCGUCACGGGUGAACAACUGCUCACAUGCAAAUUCAUCUCUAGCUGCAAUUCGAGCGAAGUUGAGUGCGGAACAAUUAGAACAAUUCAAGACAUCAUGCUUUGGCCAUCUUCUGAAUAUAGAUAAGAUUCAGUUUAGCGGGCAGAUUGUGCAUGGGGCUGUGUUGCGUAGAGUAGCGGGGCAGGGUGUGAAAGACUUGGAUGGACUGAGUUUCUUAUUAGGGUGUGACGUUGCUCAGUUCACUCGUCAGGAUUUCUGUUUGAUCACAGGGCUUCGUUUUGGGGAAGUGCCUGAAGUUUCCAGUGGAGAGAGUGAUGUAAUCAGACUUCAGAAAAGAUAUUUUAUAGACGAAGGAAUUACAUGCAAUGCUUUAGAAGAAGCAUUUAUGGGGUGCACAGAGGAAGAUGACAUCUACAAGCUAGCUCUUGUUUACUUUGCUGAGUUAGUGGUUUUGGGAAGGGACAAACAUUUGAACAUCAAUCUAAAUUACCUGACCCUUGUAGAGGACUUGGAUGCGUUCAACAGGUAUCCGUGGGGUUCGGUGUCCUUUGACAAAACCCAAGACAGUCUAUUUUCUGCACCAACAAAGUAUGUGAAAAGCUUGCAAAAUGAAGAGGGAAGAGGGAAGGGGAAAAGUAAGGUAACGGGAACAAGCCGGAGAAAUGAGAAGGGCAGGAAGGAUAAGCAUGGUGAAGCGCAAAGGAGUGGCUGGAGUUUUAAAGGUUUCACGUAUGCUUUCCAGGUACAUGGUAAUAAUGUUCAUGUGAGUUAUGUUUUGUUUUUCUUUAAAACAUAAAUAAUGACUUUUGUCCUGUGAAUUGUGUAGAUUUGGGUAUAUGAAUUAAUUCCUAGAAUGGCGGACCUGAAUUACUGCAAGGUUGUUGAUCCGACCGCUGUCCCGCGUAUUUUGCGAUGGAGAACUACUACGUCUGUUCCAGAGAUGAGAAAGUUGAACAAUUAUUUUUUCCAGAGCAAAGAGGUUUGGUUUGCAGCCCUUGGAACUAUUGAUAAGAUUGAAUGAAAUUUUGAAGUAGAAUGAUUUAAUAUGACUGUGGUUUGUAUUCUGAAACAGUCAGUUCAGUUGCGGGCGCUAUGUCCGAGUGAAGAGGAAAUGAGACAGCCAUAUUGGAGUUGGCCACAGGAUCGCCCUGAUGAGACAGCCAUAUUGGAGUUGGCCACAGGAUCGCCCUGCUGUUGUCUCGGCAGAGUCAAUUCCUUCUUUAUGUGGUGAUCUUGAUCAGUUGAACAAGGUGGUAAGCUUGUUGAGGUCCGAGUUGUUUCAAGUAAAGCGGGAAAAAGACGUCCUUCACUUAAAGGUCAUACGGAUGGAAAAACUGUUGGACCAAUGUUUAGGUCCUCAGUUUGAGCAGGAAGUAAGGAGGGACCUAGCUUUACUGAAACAGAGGACGAAGCGUUGUGUCGUCUCACAUCUAUUUAGGGGAUAUCGGGAAUUGGAUGACAUUCAAUGGGAUGAAGGGCCAAGUAACAGAAAUGAGGGAGAGGAAAAGGAAGAUGAAGGGAUUGAAGGGGGUGAAGGGCCAAGUAAUAGAAAUGAGGGAGAGGAAAAGGAAGAGGAGGGGAUUGAAGGAGAGGAAAAGGAAGAGGAGGGGAUUGAAGGGGGUGAAGUGCAAGGAAUACCAAGUGAGGUAGAGGAAGGGCAAAGGAAAAGAAGUGAAGGAGAGCAAGUGCAAGUAAAAAGUAGCAAAGGAGAGGAAGCCCAAAGACAGAGCAGUGAGGGAGAGGAAGUGAAAAGAAAAAGCAGUAAGGGAGAGAAACUGCAAAGGAAAAAAAGGGAGGGCAAGGAAGUGAAAACACAAAGAAGUGAGGAAAAGGAAGUGCAAAGAAACCAAUGUGAGAAAGAAGAUAAUGAAGUUAUGUUGCUUGGGGAUGACAUUGGCGAGAGCACGGAGGGGACACUGCUUGAGUUUACUGUCGGGGACAUUGAUUUGGAUCAACCUACAGCUGUGCUAUCUCAGUUGAACGUGUGGUUGAAUGAUAAAGGUAAAGCUGUGGCACAAGGGGUCCAAUUACGGAAAAGGAAGAGGAUCAUUCCUAUGUGGAAGAUCAUUGAAGGCAUUGAAUUGGUUCCAAAAACUGGGGCACAGACAACCGGACUGAAGAUGUUAGACCCAAUGAAGGCGAUUCCGCAUGAUGAUCUGGUGAAUUUGCUGAAACUUUGUUGGGAAUGGCGCCAGGACCCAAAGUAAGUCCCUUGCAAUUAUAAGAUAGAAGCACGACUGUAUAUAAUUUUUAAUAUACAGUGUUCUAAAACUGUUUUAUAUUCAUAGUUUAGUGAUGCAAUUUGGCAACGUGGAAGCUGAGAUUGAAUUCUUCGCUUCCCUCGUGAAAGCUGAUGGUUGGCUGAAAGGAGAUGUAAGUGUAAUUGAUUAUGCAUUUGUUUUAAUGUAUAUAGAUUAUGAGAUUGACAAGAACAACAUGUUGCAGCACAUUGAGUUGGGGUUGUAUCUCAUCCGGAAGCGACAACAACAGUUUGAGGAAGUAGAAAUAGCGGACUGGACAACGACAGAUGUUUUUUUUAUGGUAUGUCAUCGGCCUUGACCAAGUGCCGUUAAUAAUUACACAUUUUCCAUACAGACAAUAGUGGAGGUGUUUAACCAUUGAUUGUUUUGUAUUUCACAGAAUCACAUUCGAACUUGCUUUGCGGAUAAUAAAAGAAAAAAACAGCAGCUUGGGUGGAAAAUCAGAAAAAGUUUACUAAACGUUGUAAAUGGGAAGGUUCCUCCGUGUGGGAUGGAUUGGCAGAACGUCUAUACGGUGUAUACCCCAGUUAUGUUGACGAAGUACAAGCAUUGGGUGGCUGUAAUGAUUGAUCUGGUAUUGUGUGAAAUCAAAGUGUACGAUUCAAAGGUUUCACUAAUUCCAGAUGACAUCGUAAAGGAAGAACUCGCCCCGCUAUCAAUUAUGCUUCCAAAUCUUCUCAACACCAUCGACUUUUAUGAAGAAGGUGUUUAUGCAAACAAUUGCAUGCGAGAUUGGUGGUGUCCGUGGCCAAUAGAGCGUGUGGAUGUUCCACAACAGUCUAAUGAGUAAGCACAACUUGCAAUUUAAUUUUAUUACUUUCAAUUGUCAAUUACGUUAGAAUGUCAUUAGUUGAAUUGAUCGAGUUCUUGUUUUGCUUCAGAGGCGAUUGUGGCAUGUUUGUGUUAAAGUACAUUGAGCUUAUCAGCGCUCAGCUUUCGUUAGCUAUUUGCACCUCGCACAACAUGCCUUUUUUUCGGUUGAAAUUGGCUGCGGAGAUAACAAGGGGAGAUGCUUACUUCCCAUGAUAUUGGUUGAAGAUGACAAAUGGUACAUGAGAAGGUUUUGGGAAUGUCCAUUCUCAAACUAAUGUAAAUACACAAUAGAGACGUACGUGUCCUUUUCGAAUUCUACCGCUAACUCCUUCAUGACAUUUACAUGUUUGUUAACCAAACUGCAUUGAAUUGGAAUUUUAAGACUGCAUAUGUUAAUUGGGAUUUGAAGAUGGCUUUUUAAGUGUAUUACACCAUUGCAAAGUGAUAUGUCAUUGUUGAUGCAAGCCACCAUUAUUCGCAAUGAGUUGCAUCAUAAUAGGUGUGUAAACAUGCGAAAGGUUUUCGGCAGCUCAGUAGCAUAAAAGUAGAAACAAUUACAAUAUACACAAAAUGAACAACAAUUCACUUGCGUUUGGACAAGCAAUACAGACACAACAGACAAACAAUAUACACAAAAUUGGCCUGCCAUAUACAGACAUACACACAGUAGACAUGCAAUAUACACACAGUAGACAUGCAAUAUACACACAAUAGACAUGCAAUAUACACACAAUACACAUGCAAUAUACACACAAUACUCCCUUAACACACACAAUAGACAUGCCCUUGCCCACAAUAAUGAUGCAAUAUACUUCAGUCCCCAAGUACACCAACCAUAAGGAAGUCGUAUUGAAUAGGAUAUUAAACUUAACAGUUGUUCUUCCUACUAAAAGAAAGAAUAACGUCCGUUUCCCCCCUUCAUUCUUACUUCAGUGAUACUUGUGGCCCCAAUAAACAUCCAAUAUUGGGUCAAGGAUAUUCCAUAUACAUGCAGCAAACUAUCAAUAAACCUUCAAUAAACAUUCAAUAUCGGUUCUAUAACAUGCGAAAUACAUGCAGUUAACAAAUAUUACAAAAUGGGUUUAGGGUCUCAUUGGUGGUGCGUGCAACAUGUCUUGUGCGGAAGAACUUUCACAAUCUUUGAAACCAUGCAGUUAAAUGAUCCUUAAAAGAACAAAUAAAAUGACAAUUGAUACAACUAAUAAAACUAAUACCAAGUCCUUAAUGGACUUCAGCAUGUUCAGCACUCUAGCAUCAUACGUGUCAUCUUGAUGUUCUGCUUCAGCGGAGGUUACAUCAACCCAUUCGAAUCCAUUGCAACUGGUGGCUCCCUAAUUGCAGGCAUCAUAUAUGGAAUAUAAUUCUGUUAGAGUUAGACAUGGGUUUAUUUUGACCCACAUACAUAUUAUUGAAAUUAAAACUUACAUAGGAGGUUAGACACUUCCAGAAUGGCUUCCCUCGAUUUUUGUCAGAUUUUGAAACCCGAAGCACCAUUGUAGCUCCACAAUACUGACACCUCUUUGUUUGAGCAGGAGAUGAAGACGAAGACAUGUUGAAUCUUCUCAGUUGUACCUCUUCUCACUCAGAUCUUCUCACUGAAACCUCUUCGGACUCAUACCUUCUCACUCAUCGUUGUCAUUCAUACCCCUUCACUCAUAACCCUAAACUUGUCACUCAGCUCUCUCUCAUCUCUGCCCAAAUCGAGUUAUAUUUCUUUUUUUUGGGAUCAUUUGGUGGGUUGGUCACGAUCUCGACACCCGUACCGUCGGCAUUGCGACAUCUUUUAGCCCGAAAAGCAAUAUAAACUACUUCACUACCAAAUAUAUUUUCUGAAAAAUGAGGGGACACUGCUUCAAAUUUAUUAUUUUAUAUAUAUUUCAUUAAGGCAACUAGUUGGAUAAGAAUCCGUCAUUAUUGGUUCCAUUUGAAUAACAUUACUAGGGGUAGUUGGGUGUGGGAAAAUGAAAAAGUAUAUGAUGGGACCUUCUGUCACUACUCAGUAAUCCAUCACAUUUGUAUCAAUGAAUUUGAUAGUGGGAUAAUCCCACAAAUGGCUAUGCAAAUAGCCAUUUAAUGAACUUUUUGACUGUCUGACUCUGUAUGCACCGUUAUGACGUUUUCCCUUCUUUUGUCUUCAGUUUUAAUUCACUUGGGUUCAGUUUCUUUAAAAAUGGUCAACUUGGAAAAACCCCAACUGGAAACACCUUUUCAAAACACUAUAAACAGAGGCUAAAACAAAACGUGUACCCCAAAUAUUCUCAUUUAUCCCCUCUGCCACUCCUCAAAUCGUUCCAUUCCAAAAACUUUUCAAUGAAUUCGAAACACUUCACUACAGUCGGAGGAAAGAGAAGGAAGCAUCUCCAUUUCGAUAUGCCCGAAGCCUUCAUCCCGGAGUCCGCUUGGUUUCAAGUGAUGUUAUACGUGGCAACCGAAUCAUCGGAAGAUCUCUUCCGUAUGGCAUCUGUGUGCCCAUUGUUCCAAACUUUGGCAAACAGUCCACAAGUGUGGAACACCAUUUCAAUGGCAAAGUACCCACACCAUCCUAGCUGGUACCGUGCCAGACCUGCGGUCCAGCAUUUCUUGCAACAAUGCAGGGCUUGCGAUAACCCUGAGUCGAUAUUUAGAGAAGCAUUCGAUAUUUUUUUCAGGGCCAGUAAGGUGGAAGCGUUGUAUGGGAUGCGCAUUGCAGCCACGGCAGGCCAUAUGGAAGCGGCAUAUGUAGUUGGACUACUUGGUAUAUCCGGAAUUGGUCAGUCAAAAGAGGAUGCAUUACAAUUCUUGUGUUCUUUGAAUCAACGUAACAACAUUGAUAUGAAAGGAACCAGGGAUGCUUUGACACGAAGAUUAACCGGACCAAGAGUUGCAAGACAUAUCGUAGAUAUAUUUGACUAUGGGAAGAUUAAGUUCAAUCGCUGCAGCACUUGUAACAACAAUGAAUGGUAUUUUGUUAUUCAAGGCUGGCCUAGUGAAGACAAGAUAAAUCCUGCCUUCUAGACUUGUUGCAAUCGAUGCAAAUGGCACCGUGAGAGUAUUUUUUGGUUCAAACUGAUGCGUGAGUAUGUUGUGCGAGGGAAUCAUGUAUUUUUGCAUUAGUUUUAGUACGAAUUUACGGUUUUGAUGCAUUGUGGACUUACUUCUCUUCACUUCUAGGUUGGCUGGCUACGUUGUACAAAUGUUGUUUAAAUGUUGUUUAAAUGUUGGUAUUUUGUCAUAAACCGUUUUAUAUAUAAAUGUAUAAUAUUUAUUAUAUAGCGGAAUUAUUACUUACAUCAUAGACGGCUACGAAUGACAUUUUACUGACACAGAUAUUUUGCUCACCCACCCCAAUAUUCAUAUUUGGUAAACGAAAAGUCAUGCAUGGAGUAAAUAGGUGUCUUUUCACCAAUGCUUGGGAAUGACAUUUUCCCACUUAGCAUAUUCGACAGGAUUUGGUUACACGUUUCUUAAGCAAAAGUUGAACAGUGAAUGACGUUGAAUAAUUUGUUUGUGUGGAAGGAGUACAAUGGAUGACUUGUAUAUUUCCAUAUUAUGUUUGAAAACAUCCCUUCAACCUAAAAAAUAAAAAAAUUAACAAAUUGAAGAACAGAGAAACCGAUGAGCACUACAAAUGGCCUAUUCGCACGGAAAAUAAAAUUGUUUUAAACAAGUUGGACUAAAUAUAAUUAACAAAUGGACAGCCUAAAAAGUAAUAUCAUAAUAAUUAUAAUAAUUGUGGAUUAAUAAUAAUAAAAUACUAAUGUAGCAUAACCAUGAAACAGGGAAUUCAGUAGGAAGAUGAAAUCUCAAUAAGUUCGUUGAAAUGUUCGGAUCGUUUUUCUAAUUUUUGUGUAUUUAGUUCUGAAUUUUCCAAGAAAAAAAGUAAUUAAAUAAUAAUUUAGGGUAAAAUGGGAUGAUGUGGCCAUGUUGACUGACGUACACUUGUGCAAGUACUCAUAAGUGAGGGGCUGAGAUCGCGCCAGGUGUCUUCUUGGAAUUAGGGUUGGCUAUUUUAGUGGAAAAAUCCUUGAAAAUAGGUAAAAAAUAGUAGGAAAUUCCUAUUCUAGGUUGGGAAAAUUACCCGCGCCUCCUUGUGACGUCAUAAAACUAGGAGAACCUAUAAAUCAUCCGUCUCGCAAUGAAAUAAUCCAAAAUGUUUUACAUAACUCACUUCCCUCUUUACCCUAAGUAUUGAUGUUUGUUAACUUGAACUUCAAUAACCUACUUCAACAAGCAUCUCCCGUUAAUGUUGGGAAUAAUUGUCUAAAAUGCGUAACAAUGAAUCGGAGAAUUCAGCAAGGGAGAUGGAGUGUCAAUGAGUUCGUAGCAAUUUUCGGAAAUAAUUUUGAAUUUUUGUGUAUUUAGUUAUGAAUUUUGUAAGACAAAGUAAUAAAAUAAUAAUUUAGGGUAAAAUGGGAGGAUGUGGCCAUGUUGACUGACGUACACUUGUGCAAGUAGUCAAAAGUGCCGGGCUGAGAUCGCGCCAGGUGUCAUCUUCUUUUCAAUUUUGGAUUCUUUUGUUAAAAAAUCUUUGAAACUAAGUAAUAAAUAGUAGGAAAAUCCUAAAAAUGCCCCCAAAAUUACUCCGGCCUACUUGUGACGUCAUAAAACUAGGAGAACCUAUAAAUCAUUCGUCUCGCAAUGAAAUAAUCCAAAUUGUUUUACAUAACUCACUUUCCUCUUAACCCUAAGUAUUGAUGUUUGUUAACUUAAACUUGAAUAACCUACUUCAACAAGCAUCUCCCGUUGAUGUUCGGAAUUAUUUUUAAAAAUGCGUAACAAUGAAUCGGAGAAUUCAGCAAGGGAGAUGGAGUGUGAAUGAGUUCGUAGCAAUUUUCGGAUAAUUUUUUUAAUUUUUGUGUAAUUAGUUCUGAUUUUUGUAAGGAAAAGUAAUAAAAUAAUAAUUUAGGGUAAAAAGGGAGGAUGUGGCCAUAUUGACUGACGUACACUUGUGCAAGUAGUCAUAAGUGACGGGCUGAGAUCGCGCCAGGUGUCCUCUUGCUAUUAUUUUGGCUUUUUUAGUGCAACAAUCUGUGGACAUAGGUAAUAAAUUCUACGAAAAUCCAAAAAAUGCCCGGAAAAUGAGAAAAUGAAAAUUAUUUGUACAUAACUCACUUUCCUCUUAACCCUAAUUCACGUGUAACACGUAUAUUUCGGAUAAUAUUCGAUAUAUAAUUUGUAAUAAUACAAUAUUUAGUUUCACUAUAUACAAUAAUAUGUUUUGUUAUAAUAAUGUACAUAAAUAAUAAUUGCACAUGCUUUGAAGCCAUCAUUGCAACUACGCCUAGAGCUUUCAAGACGUCAGUUCGUAUUCAAUAAGUUGUCCACAUGCAAGUGCACCUACAGUUUUCAACACGUCAGAGGUAUUCAAUAAGUUGUCCACAUGCAACUGCACCUAGAGUUAUUAACACGUCAGAGGUAUUCAAUAAGUUGUCCAUAUGACGCCGCAUUGGGAAUCAGUAAUAUAUUUUCAAUCAUGUCCAAUCACAUAAAAUAAUGGCAUACUUUUUCUCAAUAACCUCACACAAGUGAAGCAAUUUUAAAACCCUUACUGAAUAUUUGUCCUAGUCUAUAUGAGUGAUUAUAUAAUCAGUCUGCAUUUUUUUCACAGUAUAUGUUAACUUUGAGAGGGAUUCCACAAACAUAAAAUAUAAAGAAAGCAAGAAAUAGUAGGAGAUGAACCAGUAGAAAAAACAAUAUAUAAAUGGUACAUAAUAAUUCCAUAACCUUGUCACAAACGCACUCACAAAAGCUUUUCCAUAAACCUUGUCCUAACAUAUAAUAAAUAAAGGCAACAUUGCAUAUGAUGCAACCAUGUCCAAAUCUGAUACGUGAUCAAAAACAAAUGGACAUGGCAGCAACAUAUGACUGAAGUAGAUGGGCUCUUUGCAUCUUGUGUUUUCGUAAUUAAAGACAUCAAAAUAUUAAGGUUUAAAUCUUCCAUAGUAGUUAGCAUCAAAAUAGCUUUGAAGCAGAGUGUAAAGAAAAUUCCAAUUCCACUGAUUUGCCUCUGCUCAAACACGAGAACCAAAAUGGUUACUUCCCUUGCUGAGUAUAUUUGGUGACGUCGGAAACGGUAAUAGAUGAUCAAUCAAACCCAGGUACGACGAGUUUUGCAUAGGAUCGGAAGUAGUCGAAUCCAGCUUGCAUCACACGCUUCUUUGACUCCACUGCAUUAGAUGAGUUCUUGUAUUUUUGAACAGCUACACUCCGAAGUCGUUUGUGUCUACGCUUCAUGCGCUGCAACUUCACCCUAUCCAGAUUGGCCUGCCUUUUGUCAUCUUCAAUUUGGCCUUCAACAAAUUCCAAACGUGCCCUUGCCCUUUGGAUUUCAUCACCAAGUUGAAGAUGCCUCUCCUUCCAAAAAGCAACAACUCUUUCAGACUCAAAACUUCCAACAAAAUGGUCAUUCUGUCUAGGAAUGUGACAUUGCUUGUCUGGUGACUCACUUGCGUGUCGAAGGCGGUCUUUGUUUGGAGGGGUGUUUAUUAUGCUCACAUCAAACUUGGUUAGUAAAUCCAUUCUUUGGGGGGAAUGAGUUUGUUUGCUUGAGAGAGUAUCAGUAGAUGGAGACAGAUUCGGUGGAGGAGUGAGUUUUGUGUGGAAGGAGAAUUUAUAUGAAAGGGGUGAUAGUAAUACCAAGAAAAGGGUUCCCGCCAAAAAAUAUUUGGUUGAGAAUGUAUAAAUUAAUUUUUGGUCUGAUACAAUCUAAGUUGAAUCCUAACUAGUUUGGUUGAGUUAACUAAGUAGAUGUCACUUCCAUUGAGUUUCUUUCAACCACUAUCAGUGGUGUCAGGAGAGUGUGAGGUUGACAUGCUUGAAAAGCAAAACCUGACACCUAUUUUUAAAAAAUUCCAUAAAAAAAGUACAUAUGUUGACUACACACAAGCUUUGGUAUGUUGGUCUAUAAACCUAUGUUCCCUUUCUCAAACGAAAUUGCAUAUGCAAUCCUCAUCCUCCCAAAACAAAGAGGAUUAUUCAAGCAUGUCAACCUCUUCAGGCGCCAACAACACAAUCGAAGAUGACAAAUUGGAGUCGCAGGUUCUAUUUCCACAUUGUACUCGCCGACCCCUUCCUUUUUCAACAUCAUUUGGGAGUGAGGGGGACUCCGAUGAUCCAUUAGAGGCAAUACAUGCAGUCAGUGGCAAGCUGGAUUAUAAUUCCAGACUGAUCAAUUCAUGGCACGAGAAAUGUGUUGAAGACGAGGCAAUUUUGGCUGAUCUUAACAUUAGAGUGAACAAAGCGUUCUCCCAAAAGAACAAGUACUUGAAGCUGAGUCAUAGCAGGAAGCUGAAAGCUGAGGAGUUGGAUACAGUAAUGAAUGAUGAAAUGAAAGGUUGUUUGCUGAACCACAUGCGAUGCGAAGAGCACCAUAGUGAACUGGAGUUGGCAUUCAACGAAGGAUUCGACAAAUUUCGAGCAUUUGCGGCAACUACUCAUACAAGUUAUGAUUGGAACUAUGUGUCCCCUGAUGCUGUGAGAGAGAUACUAGACGAUGGGGGUGACAUGAAUGAGCAUAAGCACGUCAAAGCUGCUCGGAAGAAGCCGACCGAUACGACUAAGUGAUUGCGGCUACCGCUGUUCAGUUGGUUGAGGGUGACCGUGGUAUUGCACAUAUACUCCCUUAAUGUCAUUAUCUAAUUUCAAAUAACACAAAUAUCAGUUUCAUUUGCUUCAUAUAUAAUUAUUGGGACUAUGUAUUGCAAGUCAUCAUGUGUUAUAAUGUCUAACAUUAUAUUUUGCAAAUAUGGAAAUAUUAUUCAAUAAGCAGUCAAUAUCACAGCAAGCCGGGAAUCAGUAAAUGCUCCUUAUCAUGUCCAUUUACAUUAAAGAGCUGGCGUACUAAUGUGUUCAAAAAAAACUGAGACGUGAGUCAUAAGUAACAUAACAUGUGCUAUACAUUGUUUACUGAAUGGUUUAUGGUUUAUUUUUAUAUAAUAAAAUUCCAAAUAUUGCUGAAGAUUUAUUUCGUCUAUAUGACUAGGGAUAUGAGUGGCCAUAAGCAUGUGAGACCUGCUAAGAAGAAGCUGACGAGUACGACCGAGUGAUUGUGGCUACCGUUGUUCAGUUGGUUGGGGAGAUCGUGGUAUUGCUAAGAGGGAGCACAUAAUAUGUUUUGCAAUCAAAUGUUCUUUUGUGUGUGGAAUUAUGAGUAUUUAUGUAAGUUAGUGUACCCUUUAAUAUUUUUCACCUAAGUAUCGAAAUGUAAUUAGCUGCAAUGUUAUGUUUCAUUUUUACACGCUGCUUUCUAUUUGCUCUGUUCCAACAAAGUGCUUCAAGUAUCCUUCAGUUACAAAAGUGUACAAAAUCGUGCCCCUAAUAACCAGUCGUCAAAAGUGGCUACUGCUGGAAAUGAUUACUGGUAAUGGAAACAACAGCUGGCUGCUGGAAAUGCUGCAUUAGCCUGAGGAUUUGAAAAAUGAAUCUCUGUUAAAACAUAAUUCACCCUAAACUGCCCAUUUUACAUGGUAAAGGUCAUUGCUUCUUCACAUAACUACAAAUUUCAUACUUGAUCAAAUGUCUAUGAAAAUUUAUAAAUAGGGAGAAGACGUAAAAUUAACAUGUCUCCAAAUUUCAUGGAAGAAUGAAACCAAGGAAAUUUUCAUUUCAAUUACCAGUGGACAUAGUAAGAGCUCAUCGGUGGACAUGAACAAAAACACAAUAAUAUUCAAAAACUGAAUCUAUAAAACUUCACCUGAUCAUUAAUCUUCAUAACAACCACAUUUCGUCUAAUACAAAUAUAAAUCAUUUAGUUGGUCCGUGCAUCCUGUCAAAAUCGUCGAAUAAUGGGUCACUACGAUGUAUUGGAGUUGAUUCGUCAUUGUUCGACGGUGAUGUCCUGCAUAAACAUCAAACACAAGCACAUAAAAAUUUUACCUUUUCAUAUUUUAGAUGUUAUUACAACUAGUGUUAGCAUCUUACGGUGUGUUCAAGGCUGGGCAUUGUCUUCUAUCAUGACCAAUGUGUCCACACUCCCGACAGUGUCUAAUCCCUCGCUUCAUUGCCUUUUCCUUUGCUCCCGUUACUCCUUUCGACCUUCCUUUGCACCUCACUCUCUUAGGGUCUUUCAUAUAUUGUGUUUGAGAGCUGGACCCUCCAACUUCGUUAUUACUUAGUCCAUCCUUCAGCAACUUUAACUUCACCUGCAAACUUUUUAGAGUCUCUGACAGUAGCUCACAUCCUUCUUCACUCAUUAAUGCAUCCUCAACCACAUCUGAAGCAAGUCGAGACAUUGUACUCCGCUUUAUUAGAAGGCCAGGAUCUGCACAGUCUUUAAUUUCGUUGCCAUUUGCAUCUGACACCAUUCCAGAUUUCGCAGUUUUCUUCCACCUCUUCAAAAUAUAUUUAUCGGGCAUAUAUUCAAUCUGGUCCCUUCUGAACAAUGCUAGGAUGUGCUUGCAAAUAAUUCCAACAAAUUCAAAUCUUUUGCAGCUACACGAUGCGUGGUCAGAAUCUUUGACAUAUACGACUUCUGCCACUCUUGUUUCCCAAUUUUUCCUUUCGCUCACGUUAAAGACAACUUUACAAGCAUCCUCUGUUUUGAGCUCUAGGAAACAUGCUGUACUUUGUAUUAGUUCUUGCUCAAACUUUUGAAACAUUGUCCUUGUGUACAAGGUAGCCAUUUGUUUGUUCAUUGGCAUCGGUAGAAGACAUUGAGCCACUUCAAAUGCAUCUACGUGAUCAGCAACUAACUCUUUUUCACGUUGAUGAGAAAGUGCCCUCUCAAAUCGUAUUAUGAAAUCCAUCAACGAAUUUCUCCUUGAUAUGUAUUGCUUGAAAAAACCAUGAGAACCUUCCGCUCUUUGGCUGCUUGACAUUCCAGCGGCAAAAAAUUGUCGUGCGUAGGCUGGAACCCAAGAUUCCCUUAAAUCAAACAUUGAACUUAGCCAUGGAUGGUCGGUCAAACCAGCCUUUGUAACCACAAUAUUCCAUUUUGCAUCAAACUCAUCCUUAUUGUCAGUAUCCCAUAUGGCUUUCUGAAAUUCACGCCAAUACUCCUUAUAAGCGUCACGUGGUAACUUAACAGAGAACUUUGAUGUGAUGUGCCAUAUGCAAAGUCGAUGAAAUGUACUCGGGAAGGCUAUUGAAAUCGCUAUGGCCAUUGCCGCAUCUUGAUCUGUAAUGAUCGUUUUAGGUUCCCCACCUGGCAUGGCUUUCUUAAACUCCUCAAACAUCCAAACAAACGACUCAGUCGUUUCCUUGCUCAAAAAUGCACAUGCUAAGACAAUUGUUUGACCAUGGUUAUUAACUCCCAACAUUGGUGCAAAUGUCAAGUCGUAUCGAUUCGUGUUGAAUGUGGUAUCGAAUACAACAACAUCUCCAUAAAACCCAUACGCCCGUCUAGAAGUUGCAUCUGCCCAAAAACAUCGACUAAACCUGUCAUGCCCAUCUCCCUCAAUCUUGAAAUAAAAAGCCUCAUUUUUUUUCUGUUCAGCCAUAAAAUACUCGGUCACUAGUUCAACAUCGUGGUUCCUCAGCUUCCCAUUCACACUACAUUCAAGAUUGUAGAUAUCUUUUUUGAUAAAACCGAUUUUAUCCAUUCCUCCGGAUUGCACCUUGAAAAUACUUACCUUAUGAUGAAUGGGAAUAUUAACUGAACCCAACUGUUUUGUGAGUACUUUGUAGAAUCUGAAAUAUGACGGUGUGAUCUCAAUAAAUGCAUUCUUUCUGAGGGUGUCAUCUUAUGAUUGUGUCCCUCUGCAAAAAGAGAUAUGGUAUACUUCUUGCUCCCAUUUGUCUUCACAACCACAAUCUUAGCUUUGCAAUUGCAUCUACUUAUUCCCCGUUGUCUUUUUCUCUCCCGAGUUUCAUCCUUCCUGUAUGCACCUUGUUUGCAACAUACAAAUUCUUUCCUCAAAAUCUCUUUCUUAUUUUUCCCCCAAAAGCUAGAAUGAAGUCGAAUACCAAAGCCAGCAAAGAAUGCAUAUCUAUUAUAGAAAUUGUAAACGAGGUCAAGCGAGUCAAACUUCAUCCCAACUGCUGGUGUUUCCUCAUUUCUUACUUCAGGAAUAUAAACCCUCCCAUUAGCUGUUGCACAUUCAUCACUCUCUGAGCCCCCAGACAUUUUAUCUACGUAUAUUAUUGAUCCACUUCUAUAUUACUGCAUAGCAAUUAUUCAUUCAUUAAUCAGUCAUUACUGCAUCACAACAUAUCAAUGCAUUCCACUUACACAAAACAUUGCCCAAAUUGACACAAAAUACGCAUAGCCUAACUUCCGAUUACACAAAACGCAAGCAAAAUUUCAUAAAAGUUACGUCAUCUCUUGUGAAAUAAUCUGGUCAAAAUAACAUUAGAACCAACAUGUUCAACUAAGAACACAAAUGUAAUUCAAACCACCAAUUACAGAACUUCACCCAAUAUCCUCUCCAACUGCUUACUCCUAAUGUCAUUAAGCCUAAGUUUAGGUUCUUUUACCUACAUUUCAUAAUUUUCCACCCCGACCAACAACAAUGAACUAAGAAUAUUGAAUAUUCAUAAGGAAAUGACACAUUAUUGAUGCCACAAAUGACGAAUUUCCCACCCUCACAAAAGAUAAACCUAACCCAAUAAAAUCAAUCCAGCAAGUGAACUUACCUCUCAAAAUCAAUCGGGAGCUCUGAAGUCAGUCAGCUUGAAAGAAUGUGGUGGACAUUACAGAAGACUCUUUGGUAUUUGAGACUCCAUCUCUACCAAAAUCGAGGAACAACUGCUGCUGCGGCUUCUAGCUACAAAAACAGAUAUGCUACUUUGCUUUCAUCUGGAAUCUUGUCAGCUGAAUGAAAAAGAGAAGGGGUUUUCACUUGAGCCAUAGAAUCAAAACAGGGCAACAGCUAGGUAAGAGCCAUUCUUCGUAAUACCCAGGAUACCAUAGAUCGCAGGCCUCCCAACGAGCUAAUGACAGUCGAGUGACUAUAAGGUUUGGGAGAUUUGGAUCCUUCUAAUUGUGGGUUUGCUUUACAUUCAAAAAGAAAGGAUUGUGUUCUUCAGUUUUUCACAGAGAGGGAAAGAGGGGAACAACUGAAGUUGGGUUUCUAACGGGUUAGAUUUCAACCCGAUUCUACAUGCACCCUCUUUUAAAAACUCACCGUUGGAUGAAAUCCAACGGCUCUUACAUGCCCCUCAAAAACACCCCUUAUAACUUCCCACUCACUAUAGAAGCUCCCCUGUUUGUGUUGUUGAAUUGGGUCUUUUAGUUGUUUUUGUAAACUCUGAUUUAAGUCUAGUUUGGUAUUGCUGUACUUUUAAAAAAAACUACUUCCGCUGUGCUGCUAGAAUACUCAGCUGUAAAAAAAAUUAGUUAUGCUUUUGGUAAACUAUAUUUGAAAAAGUGCUGUGAGUAAUCCAAAUGUUUGGUAAAUGACCAAAAAAAAGUGCUUUUAAUACGUACAAUGACUAAAAAGGACAUGAUGAUGGAACUAUUUGAUUUUUUCUUCAUUCUUUUUCUACUUAAAAAAAACUUCACUACAUAAUUUUUUUUUCUUUUUUUAUUUAUACUAUACACGUGUUCCUCUCUUCUCAAAAAAGUAAAUGCCUUUUGUUAUGUAUUGAAUGCUAACCCAACGACACCAAUUGGAAACCCAACACAGCCCAUCUCUCCACUUCAAUUUUUCUCUUUCUACCAUUUACAAGUUUUUUUUCUUCAUUCCUUCGUCUAACCAAAAAUAUCUCAUGUUUCCCCCAAUUAGUUUUAGUACUUUUGGGUAGGUGAGACUGAAAAGGGGAAAAAUUGUAUGUUGGGUUUAUGUUUUGGUGUUCUUGCAAUGGGAGAUAACAUAGUGGAGAAAGUAGCCAUGGUGAAAAUACAGAUUUCUGGGUUGCAGCCAUGGAGAUUUGAGCUGAUUUACAGUGCUGUAGUGGGGGUAGUUGAAGCCCCCCCAAAGUUGGGACUACUGCAACAGGAUCUUUCCACCCAAAACCAAAAACAAGAACAACAAACUCAGGUGGAACAUGAAACUCAUCACUCUCUCUCUUCCUUCGACUCGGGUUUUCUCUCUUCUUCCUCAAACCUGCGACAAAUAGAAAAACCCCCAAUUUAACAGAGAAAACUCUAGAUGCAGAAAGUUUGAGAAGUAGAAAACCAAAAAACCAUAAUUGUAAUUAAGUUAUUGAUGAAUGGGCAACCUUCUUAGCAAUUAAUUUUUUGAUGUCCACAAUGAGAGUUCCAGCAGCGUCAGAGAGUAGAGAAGGAAAUGAAGGAAAUAGAGUUCACAGAAUGGAGAAGAAAAAAGGGGCAAAAGACCGUCAAUUUGUAAAAUAAGUGAGGGUAUUACGGGAAAGUUAAAAGUUCAUUAAAACAACCGGUUAAAUUUUUUUUGAAGCAGCUUUUAAAAGCUUGGUAGAGACGGCUUCGAAAAAACAGCGAUCAUUGACUGCGAUUUUAAAAAAAAGCAGGAUUCCUGAUGUUUUCCAAACACCCAACUCAUGAAAUUUUUUUAUUAAAGCUGCUUUUUAAGAAAAUUAAACGCUGCCAAACACCACCUUAACCAUUUUCUUUGCGUGUGCCAAAUUUAUAAUUUUGACCAGUGUCAUGCAGGAAAAUGUUUCAUGCUUUGUUAACAGGGGGCUUUCGAUGAGUAUUUUAUUUAGAUGAAAAGUGAUUCAUUCCUUUCCUUUAUGGAUUCAUCUUGUUAGGUUGAUCUAUUGAAGAAUGAGCUUGGAUUUGAUGAGGCUUUUAACUAUAAAGAAGAGGCUGACUUGAAUGCGGCUUUCAAAAGGUGCAUAUGAGUAAUGAUAGAGAGAUUACAUUUAUAAACCCUAGCGGACCAUGAAUAUAAUGAGUCUUAAAUCUAUUAGACAAUUGGUUAGUUGACAGGUGGUAUACAAAGCAGUCUACAAAUGUGAUCUCCCUAUCAUUUUCCGUAAAAUACAUAUUUAUUAUGUUAUACUAGUUUCCUUUAGUAAGAAAAGAAAGGAAAAAAACUAUUAUUAAGAAUUUGUGUGUUGUUAGGGUUCAUCAUUGGGCUGGGCCAACUCAAAAAUUUUGGGUUCGAGCCGAGCCCUCAUGGGCCGAAAUGGGCCAGACUUUUUGUUAAAAAGUCUUUUCAAUCUUUUUGUUACACAUUUCGUUUUUUCAAAAGUGAUGGAUAUAGAGUAUUCUCUUAAACAAUAGUAUAGAUUACUACAUAAUUUAAGAAAACAAAAAUAUAAUAGCCAAACUUUUUUACUAAACCUAGACCAAUAACCAAUAUAUUUAAAAAAUAUUAUACCUAAAAAUGAAUCUUAUGAUGUGCAAUUUGUGCCUUAAUUAACUUAUAUCCCAAAUUAGGAUUGACAUCAUGAAAAUUAAAGCAAUUUGUGCCUUUAAAAUUAAUAAACCCAGAAUAAGCUUUCAAAUUCUUUAUUGAACCGUUAAAUUUGAACUUGACAAAAAAGGGGCACUAAGAGAUAUAGUGCAUAUAUUGCUUGUUUGUUACAAAAUUUUAGACAACAUUGAAAAAAUUAACUUAAUUUAUAACAUGUGUAAACAAAAUAAAAAGUUUAUUAGUUUAUCAUACAUAUUACAUUAUUUUGAUUAAGUAUAAAAUGAGGUUAGGGAAUGCAUCAAUUAAUCUUAAAAAAAUGAAAAGCAUAAGCGGGCGGGCCGAGCGGGCCUAACCAUCUUGCUAGGCUGGACUUUGACCCAUCAAGCCUCGGACUACCCACUUCGGAGCCGCGGGCCAAAUGAUGAUCCCUAUAUGUUGUAUAUGAUGCUUUGAAGCUUGAGCUUUCUUGAGUGAAGGAUAAAUUUUCUUUGUAAUUACCAUACACUUGCCAGGUAUUUCCCUGAAGGCAUUGAUAUUUACUUUGAGAAUGUUGGAGGCAAAACGCUAGACGCAGUGCUCCUCAACAUGAGAGUCCAUGGCCGCAUUGCUGUAUGUGGAAUGAUCUCACAGUACAAUCUUGAUCAAGCAGAAGGGGUAACAAAUUUGAUGCACCUUGUGUAAAAACGUAUCCGCCUCCAUGGAUUUUCGGUAAGAGAUCACUAUCACAUCCAUCCGAAAUUCGUGGAGUUUAUGCUGCCUUACAUUAGGCAAGGAAAGAUUGUUUAUGUGGAAGACAUAGUUGAAGGCCUUGAGAGUGGUCCAAGAGCGCUGGUUGGACUUUUUAAGGGUCUUAACUUUGGAAAACAAGUAGUUGACGUCUCUGCAUGAAUAAGUUGUUUUGUCAAUCGAUUUGGUGUGCUUGUGUUUCUAACCACUAUAACUUUGUUAAGUGGCUCUUUGGUUUUAUUUUUAUGUUUUUGGAUCCUUUUUGGGAUUGCAUAUGUUAAGUGGUGCACUUUGUCAUACAGAAGAUAUUCAUCAAUAAUAAGGGCUAAUUCAGGAUUGUUGUCACUUUUAAAAAAAGAUGCUUCUGUUGUGUUUUGGAAAUAAUAAGCUGUAAAGUAGUUCCAUGCGUGUUAAACAAUAUUUUUAAAGUGUUGUUAGUAUAAAAAGUUAUGUCAAAACCGUUUGGUAAAUUUUGAUAUAAAACUAGUAACUGUUGAUAAUGACUAAAACAUACAUGAUAUGUCGAAAGUGUUACGUGGUAACCAUAUGGUGGUGGUGGCGGUGGUGGUAUAGGUGGAGGUUGAGUUGGUGGUGGUGGUGGAGGUGGAGGUGGUGGUGAGGCGUGCUACGGGCACCAACUUAAAUACUAAUUUAAUGAUACCAACCUAUGUGGCAUAUGACAUGACAAUUUAUGUCAUAUGCCACAUCAUUUUUUUUAUUAGUUAAGUUUUAACAAUUUUUUGUCAGAAUUAACUUAAUUAUUUAGUUUUAAAUAAAUAAAUUCUGCUCCACGCCUCCCUUCCUUCUCGGAUCUACUACCAUGGCCUCCUUCCUCCCCAACUUGUAUGCCCUUAUUAUUACGCACAUUGAAUUUGGCUUUCGGGGUGUGACAUAUUUUUACCAAUCCCAUGAAGCUUUUCUUAUCUUUGAAUGCUUGAGUGCUAACCAUUGUGUGUUUCCCUUGCUUUAGGAAGAUUGCCUCACUCAGCAAGAAUGCAUGGUGAGGUGUUUGUGAAUGGUGCAAAAUCGGUACAUGUACAUGGCCACGACACCGAUAUAUAAAUGAGAAGAGAAUUCCUUGGUCAGUAUCAAUAUUGCGAAACUGUUGCAGCAUUGAAGGGUUGUGUGAACUCCUCGAUUUCAAGCGAAGUCGAAUAUUGCUUGAUGUGGAAGAUGGCUCAAACUAAUAAAAAUGAGGAAAACGGAUCAUACCAACAAAAAUAUGGCAGAUGGCCAGAAUCAAUAUAACCGUGGUCAGAUUUGGGAAGUGAGGCCAUGGCAGAUUCGGAGAGGGAGGGAGGCCAUGGCAGAUCUAUAAAGGAAUGGAGAAACAGAUCACACCUCUUCCCUUCUCCUCAUACCACAACUCAUCAUACACACCCAAUCGAUUUUGAAAUAUUACAUAAAAGUUGUGAUGGCGCUGGAACUGCAGAUUCAGAACGUUUUUUAUAUGCUUCCCACAAGCAGUCAGACAAACCCUUAGAGGACGAGUGACAUCAUUACCUUCUCAACUUACCAAAGAAAGAACUCCUUCCGAAGUGGUAACCACUUGCCGAUGCUCCCAACUACAGAACCAAGUUUCCAUGGACACGUGUCACCUCCACAAUAGUUUGCACAAAGUCCGACAUUGAAACUUUGUGCAAAACUCCCAUUUUCAGGGAACAGUACCUAAGGAAAAGGGGUAACUACUUUUCACAUUUACUGUUACUCUGCCAAAAUUACCACAUAUACUCGCUGACUUAAGUAUUGGAGAGUCUUCGGCAGGUACCACACCAGUGUCCGAAGCUUGACGAUCCCUUCUUCCUUGUUUUCUUAUGCAAGAUCCCUCCAUACCGAAGGUCCACAACCUUCUCCCUUGCUGAAGAUUUAACACUCCUUUAUCUAAGUUAACCCUCCGAAAAAGAGCAUCAACACGCGCAGCACUCAUUAUCUUUCAACAAUCUGAUUAUCUUAUACUAGUUAAUUUAUGGGUUGUUUGAUAACAAUUUCAAUUUUAAUUUUUAGUUUUCAUUUUCAUUUUUUUUGAAAACUGAAAACAUGUUUGGUAUUAGAUUUCGUUUUCAAAUUAAAAAAAAAGUGAAAUCUAGUUUUCAAAAUCACCUUUUUUUUAAAAAACAACUUGGAAGUGUUUUAUGUUUUUUUUUUAUGUUUUUUUUUUUUUUUUUUUUUUUUUUGUGCACUAUUGUUUGUUGGAGUGUUAGUUGACUUUCUUUGCACACCAAGGUUUCCCAUAUUAACUCAUGCAUAGAUUGGAAUUGAUUUCCUACUCUAAAUAGUAUUAGAAGUUAUUAAUUACCUUACUUAGCCUUCAAGGAAUAUUGUAUUAUAAAUAUGGCCUUCUACAAGGAGAAGAAUACACAGAAAAUUCUCACCACAAUUACUCUUUCGUAAUUUUAGCAUUAUUUCAUUCAUAAGUUUCACAUCACCACACAUGAAAUGCACUCCGGUUACCAAAAGUCGGUAUUUGGGACCUCCCAACUUGGACUUGGUCGCUCAAUUCGUGCUUUUGGCCACAAUCCCAAUCCAAACCUCGUCAACUCCAUGUCCAAAGGUCACUAAAAAAUAAUCAUAAUUUUAAAAAAUUCACCAAAAAAUAUUACGAAUUUUUUGUCAUUCCUGCUUUAACUUUACCUUUUGUUUUCAAAUGUUGACCCGUCCCAACCCAACUCUCAAUGCUCGAAGGGUUCUUUCGUGUAGUUAAGAGUUGGGUUUUCCAAGGUAGGUCUAUAUUGAUUCGAACAACUUUGCGGUAUAUCUGUGGGUAAGAUACUGUUCUCAAAGUAGUAAAGGCUGAACUAAAAGGCUAAAUGGGAAAAUGAAUACUUUCUUUUCUCUUCCUCAAGAAACAUACAUCCUCACCACAAGAGAGGGAGAGUUGCUUGGUAUUUUGUUAAAUAAAAUAAAAUAAUUAAUAAUUGAAAAUAGAAAAUGUUUGAAAAGGAUAUUGGGAAUAAAGAGAGAAGAUGCGGGUGUGAGUAAAAUAACAAUAAAAGAAAAUUAAAUCAAAAAUAAAAAAAUAAAAAAAUAAUUAAGUUUUGGGGAGUAGAAAUCGGGAUGGAGGGGGGAGAGAGAGGUUUUUUUUUAAAAAUUUUUUAUUCGUAUUUUAAUCAAUUUUGAUAUUGUUGAGGCCCAAAAAAGUUACGGGAAGCCCAAAGACAUUUAAAGCCCAAUAUAACAUAUAUUCUCAGUCAUGCGUUAAUCCAAGCUGUAAUUCGGAUUUAAUUCAUUAAAUAAAUAUAAAAUAGUGUACAUGUCAUGCUAAACUAAUAAUACAUUUUCCCCAUGCUAAUCACCUAUCAAGCUCACAUGAACCCAAGUCAUGUGAUUUACGGGCUUGCAUGAGGGAUUGUGGUGUGGAAGGUUACGGAGGUCCACAAGGCCCACGGAAGCUCUUGGAUAACAGAGACUUUGGGCUAGCUACUUGAGAGCACCAAAGUCCAAGCCCAUUACUUAGAGUUCUCCAAUGUGGGUGAGCAAAUGAGACAUUUUUCAAGCACUGCCUUUUACCUAUAGGAAAUAGUCAUUUUCCAAAUACCAAGCUUUACCCGUUGGAAACAAGCAUUUUCCAGCACUUCCUAUUACCCAUUGGAAACAAGCAGUUUCCAGUGCUUCCUUUUACCAAUAGGAAAAAAUCUGUUUAUGAUACCUAGCUUUACCUAUUGGAAAAUAGCAUGUCCUAGUCCUCCCUUUUAACCAUUAGAAAUAGGUUGGUUCCAAUACCUCCCUUUACCUAUUGGAAAUAAAGGAAAACCCUCACCCUCUAUAAAUUGGCACUCAUGGCUCAAGCAAAAGGCACCAAUUUUUCUUCAGCCAAUACUUCCUCACUCGGCUACUGCAAGCAUCCCAGCAGCCACCAACCCCCAUAAAGCAUCACCUAGCUCCAAGCUUUUCCUUCCUUCCAAGCUUUAAACACCAUAGCCUUUAAACCUCAAGCUUUUCCUUCCAUCCUCCUUCUCUUGAAACUCUUAAAUCCCCAUAGCCAUAGCCACACACAACAAAUUAUCAACACCAAACUCAAACAUAUCCAACACCAAGCCAAGCACAUGCAUUCUCAUUUGCUAAACUUGUGGGUCUUUAGCUCCUACACUCCAAGCUCUCAUGCUAAGCUCACAUAAUCUCAUACCAACAUCAGCAAGUCAUCUUCAACUCUUCGUCGAGCUGCCGAAAACAUCAACACAAAACAUGCAGCCGUUGGAAGAAGAACAAAGUACUCUCCCGGGACUUGCUUUUCCCUUGGGACACUUUGGGCCUAGUUCUCGCUAACUCAGAUAAAGGAACAACGAAGUCUUCAUUCAUCACUCUAUGGCGACCCAAGAAUCAACAAAGCCCGGAUGAGCCUUCGAACGAAAGUGACCACAUGCAAAGCUCAAGCUUCAAUAGCCAAGCCCAAGCUUUUGGUUCCUAAAAACAUGCUUACGACAGCUGCAACAAACAAUACCUAAGUCACCAUAAGUGAUAUGCCCCAGCGUCUCAAGCACUUUCUAUGCCCUGACAAUUCUAAUGAUCAAGUUUUAGAGUCAAACCAAAAGGCCAUUGGGAUGUCUCAAUUGCCACAAUUCCAUAAUCAAUCAUCAUCAAGCCUCAAGCCUUAUUCAAGAAAUCCAAGCACUAUUCUUUACUCAAGAAGGAAAACAUCUCAGUUCGUGGCAAAUAGAAGGAAAAUACUACGAAGGUACCGGAAGAACCUAAACACUGUCAAGAUGAAGUUUCCUUUACCAAGCAAUCAAAAUUUUUGAAGUGAUGUCAAGCUAUCAAGAAAAAGAGUAAAGUCACUAUGCAACACAACAACCAAAAUAUGCUUGUAGUAACCAAGAUUCAAGCCAAGCAAAAUGUGGAAGAUAAUGAUGCGUUGUAUGAAAUGCUCCUGGAAGAUAACACAAGCCCUAUAGUCAUGCUGCCGGAAGAGUGAACCAUCAUGCCACUAAAUUUGAAAGAGGAGCCCCAUAUCUGAGUACUGGAAGGCAGCGCAGUGGACUCCAAAACUAAGAUCUAGUCCAAGUGACUUAAGGCCUCCAUAUUGCAAUGCUUAUUUGCCAACACCUAUACCGCUUUCAAGCUACUGCAGACACUAUCAUGCUCAAAUCCUUAAGCAUCUCCCAUUGUAUUUUCAUCUUCUAAUCUACCAAAGCCCUCAUGAUUGACCAAGCUAUAUCUUGAUUCAACUCCACCCACUUGCUCUUUACAGCAGCCCAGGCCCAUCUGUAGCUGCCGGAACAAAAAAGCCCCAACGUAAAUGACAAAACCGAAACACUAAAGCACAUCCACCAUGCUAAAUAGCCCAAAAGCUAUAUUAAACCACGACACUUUAGCCAAUACCAAGCGUACAAGCCAAUGCCCAGCAUCCAAGCAUACAAGCCAAAGCUUAGCGUACAAGCCAAUACUAAGCAUACAUGCCAAUGCCAAGCAUACACACCAAUGCCAAGCAUCCAAGCCAAUACCAAGCGUACAAGACAAAGCCAAGCAUACAAGUCAAUACCAAGCAUACAUGCCAAUGCUACGCGUAUACGCCAAUGCCAAGCAUCUAAGCCAAUACCAAGCAUACAAGCCAAAGCCAAGCGUACAAGCCAAUACCAAGCAUAUAUGAGCCCAAGAUCAAGCGUACAUGCCAAUGCCAAGCAUCCAAAUCAAAUACUAAGAAUACAUGUCAACAUCAAGCAUACAUGCCAACACCAAAUAUACACGUAAAAACCAAGGAAGCAAGCACGGAUGUUUCAUGCAUAUUGAAGAACCAGCCAUGUCAUGCCACUGCCAAUUAUUUUGGGCUGAAAUAGAUUAUUGGGCCCAUCUCACUGCCACUUCAUAGCCCCAAUAAUCAAGGGGGCUAAUGUUGAGGCCCAAAAAAGUUACGGGAAGCUCAAAGACAUUCAAAGCCUAAUAUAACCUAUAAUGUCACUCAUGCGUUAAUCCAAGCUGUAAUUUGGAUUUAAUUCAUUAAAUAAAUAUAGAAAUAGUGUACAUGCCAUACCAAAAUAAUAAUACAUUUUUUCCAUGCCAAUCACCUAUCAAGCUCACAUGAACCCAAGUCAUGUGGUUUAUGGGGCUUGCAAGAGGGAUUGUGGUGUGGAAGGUUACGGAGGUCCACAAGGUUCAUGGAAGCUCUUGAAUAAUGGAGACUUUGGGCUAGCUACUUGGGAGCACCAAAGUCCAAGCCCAUUACUUAGAGUUCUCUAAUGUGGGUGAGCAAAUGAGACAUUUUUUAAGCACUUCCUUUUAUCCAUAGGAAAUAGUCAUUUUCCAAAUAUCUAGCUUUACCCGUUGGAAACAAGCCUUUUCCAGCACUUCCUAUUACCCACUGGAAAUAAGCAGUUUCUAUUACUUCCUUUUACCAAUAGGAAAUAAUCUGUUUAUGGUACUAGCUUUACCUGCUGGAAAAUAGUAUGCCCUAGUGCUCCCUUUUAACCAUUAGAAAUAGGUUGGUUCCAGUACCUCCCUUUACCUAUUGGAAAUAAAGGAAAACCCUCACUCUCUAUAAAUUGGCACUCAUGGCUCAAGUAAAAGGCACCAAUUUUUCUUCAGCCAACACUCCCUAACUCAGCUGCUGCAAGCAUCCCAGCAGCCACCAACCCCCAUAAAGCAUCACCUAGCUCCAAGCUUUUCCUUCCUUCCAAGCUUUAAACACCAUAGCCUUCAAACCUCAAGCUUUUCCUUCCAUCAUCUUUCUCUUGAAACUCUUAAAUCCCCAUAGCCAUAGCCACACACAACAAAUUAUCAACACCAAACUCAAACAUAUCCAACACCAAGCCAAGCACAUGCAUUCUCAUUUGCUAAACUUGUGGGUCUUUAGCUCCCACACUCCAAGCUCUCAUGCCAAGCUCAUAUAAUCUCAUACCAACAUCAGCAAGUCAUCUUCAACUCUUCGUCGAGCUGCCGAAAACAUCAACGCAAAACACGCAGCCGAUGGAAGAAGAACAAAGUACUCUCCCGAGACUUGCUUCUCCCUCGGGAUACUUUGGGCCUAGUUCUCGCUAACUCAGACAAAGGGGCAACGAAGUCUUCAUUCAUCACUCUAUGGCGAUCCAAGAAUCAACAAAGCCCGGAUGAGCCUUCGGACGAAAAAGACCCCAACAGAUAUAAAAAUACCAUUUUUCCCCUGCAGUUAACAGAAAAGUUAACAGCCGGACCAUUUGUCCUAACGAAACUGAAGUUGAAGAACUACGGGAACCAUUUUGAAAAUUGAGGUACUCAAAUACAAAUCGGGUCUAAGUUCAGGGAUUAAUAAAACAAUUAACCCCUGAGUUUAUAAUGCUCGAGAGUAUAUAGGAAGAGGACACUCCAACUGGCAGCUAUGGAGGAGGCCAAGACUAGUAGUGUCUAUUCUGUGAAAGCUAACUUUGCUUUCUUAUUAUCCACAACUUAGAUAUAUCAAUGGCUUCUUGCAAGAACCUCAAUUCUUUAUGAACUUUCUGCCCUAAAAUGCUUUAUCUAAUAGCUCAGACAAUGGUGAAAGAAAAAAAAUUGUUGUUGGAAUCUUAGCAUAAUAAUAUUUUCCAGCCAAAAUCAGUUGUUAGAUUCUCCAACAGCACAAUCUCUUUUCGCAAUCACAUACUAGUCAAUCCUACAGAGCAUAAGAUCCUACUUUGAGGGGUGGAAAGGAAUGAAUUCAACUCACCACUAUUAUGACCAAGGCAAUAAUUUUCAUUUCCAUCACAUGAUUCUAGGUGACCCACAACUCCAUACCACCAACCUGCAAUAUAUACAGAAAAUCCUAUCAAGCAAUGGACAAUGGGAAAUUAAUUAAUUUCACCUUUUAUUUAAGUUUCUGCAUAUUAAACGAAUCUACUUUCAUUAUAUAUUUAAGGGAAAUGUAAGCCUUUUUUUUCGUUCUUUACCCUUUUUUUUCCUCACCUUAAUGGGGCUUGAGGAUGUUUGAAUUGUUCGCUAGAACUACUUUCAUUAUCUAUUUGAGGCAUACUUCAUGAACCACAUGGAUUCUAGGAAGUGAUAUAGACCUUUGUUUCUUUCAUUUGAGCCCUUCUAGCCAACCCGUAUCACUUUUAUCCCUUGUUAAUCACCUUGUGCCUUUUAUGUAAGCCUUUUUUUUCGUUCUUUACCCUUUUUUCCUCACCUUAAUCUAUCAUAUGUUACCCUUCUAAGGAGUUUUGUACAGUAUUUUCGUUGUUAAGGGAGAAUUGCACAACAAUCAUGUGGAAAGUAAAGGAUACUAUUUCCAAAAAAAAAACCUAAUUUCAAACCCUUUUCAACUCGAGUUAUUGAGCCCUAUGAGUGUUUUACAUUUAAUUUCGUAAAGCUAUGUAGCUUGGGAGUCAUUGGCCUAACACUCGCUGCAUGGGUUGAUUAGAAAGCUAAUGAAGAGUUAGAAAAAAAAAUUGUGAAAAAUAAAUAAAUUUCAAGACAGUAUCAAUAUGAAGUUGCGUGCUCAAAGUGCAAGAUGUUAUAAUUUUCAUGGAAAGCUCUAUGAAUUCCUUAGAAUUUGUUCAUCCAUAUCUUUUUCUUGUUUCACCCGUCACUCUAAGCCCCAUUACAACCUUAUUUGAAGACUAUUCUGCUAUUUUCUCAAGGCGUGCAAUAUAUGACUGGAAAGAUAAGAUAAAGACCUACAAUUUACAUAUUUUUUCAGAAUUUUCUCGGAGGAGGAAUGAUUCCAAACGUGGGUGCAAAGUAACUAACGUGUUAUCCUAGUCCAAGUAGGAAGAUGAGUCAAUUACUUACCCAUUUUGGAUUUAAGUUUUAAUUAGCUGUUUCUUUAUUUUUGGGCUGUUGUAAAAGGCCAGCUAAGGUAGGAAUAGACGUGUGGCAUUUUAUUUAAGCAUGAGACAACUCCUUUGGGAAGACGCAAAGACUAGGAGAAAUUGGAGACGCCGGAAGAGUACCACAAUUGGCUAAGUUUUAUUGUUUCUUCCUUAUGUUUUUGUUUAUGUCAAAUUCUAUGAUUAUGUGUAACUAAUUUUAUUUUGCUAGGGCAUGAUGUAUGCCUAGUAUGAUAAUCUAGUUUUCUUAUUUUACCUAUCUAUUGAUUGCAGUUUGAUGUUAGAUUCUUAAUCACUGUGCUUAGUACCUUAGUUGAUUACCUUGAUGCUUGAUCACCAUCUAGACUUUUAAUUGAGUUAAUCGGAUGCGAAUUAGAGUAAAUACCAUACUUAAUUUGAGGUUUGCUUCUUGUGAUUAGAAUUUGUAAUUUGUCUAAAGUAAAUACCAUACUCCUAGAAUUUACAUGCUUGUUGGAGGUUUUCACUGAUUUCAAUAUUUUCCCGACAUGUGAUGCCAACAACAUAGAUGUUUCAAUGUUUCACUAUGGAAGCAAUCACGUAAGGAUUAACAUGGCAGGACAUCAGACAUGAGAAACUAAGAAGAGAGAGAGAGAGAGAGAGAGAGACUUGCCAUUCAAGCAAGAGAAGGCCAUAACACUAUAUAGCAAUAGCACCGUAAAAUAAGAUGCAAAGAAUGAGGGGGUCAUGUUUUCAAGUACCAAAACACGCAAGGGCAUUUUGGUAAAGUACAUCUGAAAAUAAAUCAAGGCAAGCAAAGCCGUAGAUAUCCUCUUCCUGCUACACAUAGUAUUAGCCUACGUAAGGUCAUUACGGCGCCGUUUCCCUUUUUAAUUGGCGUAGUUCAACUCAUCAUCCACCCAAGUUCAUUUCGUUCAAAGCUAUAAAUAACCCCUCAAACCAUUCAACUUUCCCACCACCACUCCUCACUCCUUCAACUCAUUAACCUCUCUCUCUCUCUCUCUCUCUCUCUCUCUCUCUCUCAUCCGCAAAUGGCGAACCGUAGAAGCCUCUUUUCUCUCUCACUUAUCUUUGUGUUCAUGAUCAACUCAGCCAUAGCCACUCCAGUCACAUACAAUGUGGCCAGUUUAGGAGCCAAAGCAGAUGGCAAGACUGACUCCACAAAAGCCUUC